UUUAUCGGAGAGUUUGAUCCUGGCUCAGGACGAACGCUGGCGGCGUGCCUAAUACAUGCAAGUCGAGCGGACAGAUGGGAGCUUGCUCCCUGAUGUUAGCGGCGGACGGGUGAGU
Molecule: ribosomal RNA, 115 nt
Filed under: Bacillus subtilis
Lineage: Bacteria; Bacillati; Bacillota; Bacilli; Caryophanales; Bacillaceae
Description: partial 16S ribosomal RNA
Rfam family: Bacterial small subunit ribosomal RNA
Source: RNAcentral